AUUGAACGCUGGCGGCAUGCCUUACACAUGCAAGUCGAACGGCAGCGCGGGCUUCGGCCUGGCGGCGAGUGGCGAACGGGUGAGUAAUACAUCGGAACGUGCCCUGUUGUGGGGGAUAACUAGUCGAAAGAUUAGCUAAUACCGCAUACGACCUGAGGGUGAAAGCGGGGGACCGUAAGGCCUGGCGCAAUAGGAGCGGCCGAUGUCUGAUUAGCUAGUUGGUGGGGUAAGAGCCUACCAAGGCGACGAUCAGUAGCUGGUCUGAGAGGACGAUCAGCCACACUGGGACUGAGACACGGCCCAGACUCCUACGGGAGGCAGCAGUGGGGAAUCUUGGACAAUGGGGGCAACCCUGAUCCAGCAAUGCCGCGUGUGUGAAGAAGGCCUUCGGGUUGUAAAGCACUUUUGUCCGGAAAGAAAUCCUCUGCCCUAAUACGGCGGGGGGAUGACGGUACCGGAAGAAUAAGCACCGGCUAACUACGUGCCAGCCGCCGCAGUAA
Molecule: ribosomal RNA, 500 nt
Filed under: uncultured bacterium
Lineage: Bacteria
Description: partial 16S ribosomal RNA
Rfam family: Bacterial small subunit ribosomal RNA
Source: RNAcentral